UUUCUAGUGGCGGACGGGUGAGUAACGCGUGGGCAACCUGCCUUAUACAGGGGGAUAACAACCAGAAAUGGUUGCUAAUACCGCAUAAGCGCACAGGACCGCAUGGUCCGGUGUGAAAAACUCCGGUGGUAUAAGAUGGACCCGCGUUGGAUUAGCUAGUUGGUGGGGUAACGGCCUACCAAGGCGACGAUCCAUAGCCGGCCUGAGAGGGUGAACGGCCACAUUGGGACUGAGACACGGCCCAG
This 245-nucleotide ribosomal RNA is filed under the name uncultured bacterium. Its description in RNAcentral is "partial 16S ribosomal RNA". It matches the Rfam family "Bacterial small subunit ribosomal RNA", at positions 89 to 334 of the family's 1533-position model. The record is from RNAcentral.